AGAGGGUGCAAGCGUUAAUCGGAAUUACUGGGCGUAAAGCGCAUGUAGGUGGGCAUUUAAGUCGAUUGUGAAAUCCCCGGGCUCAACCUGGGAAUUGCAGUCGAUACUGAAUGUCUAGAGUAUGGGAGAGGAGAGUGGAAUUUCCGGUGUAGCGGUGAAAUGCGUAGAUAUCGGAAGGAACACCAGUGGCGAAGGCGCCUCUCUGGCCUAAUACUGACACUAAAGUGCGAAAGCGUGGGGAGCAAACAGGAUUAGAUACCCUGGUAGUCCACGCCGUAAACGAUGAGAACUGGGCGCCGGGAGGCUUUGUCCUCUAGGUGCCGAAGCUAACGCGUUAAGUUCUCCGCCUGGGAAGUACGGCCGCAAGGUUA
This 371-nucleotide ribosomal RNA is filed under the name uncultured bacterium. RNAcentral describes it as "bacterial SSU rRNA". It matches the Rfam family "Bacterial small subunit ribosomal RNA", at positions 527 to 896 of the family's 1533-position model. The record is from RNAcentral.